RNAcentral lists this ribosomal RNA (415 nucleotides) under uncultured bacterium. RNAcentral describes it as "partial 16S ribosomal RNA". It matches the Rfam family "Bacterial small subunit ribosomal RNA", at positions 355 to 763 of the family's 1533-position model. The record is from RNAcentral.
UGGGGAAUAUUGCACAAUGGGCGCAAGCCUGAUGCAGCCAUGCCGCGUGUGUGAAGAAGGCCUUCGGGUUGUAAAGCACUUUCAGCGAGGAGGAAGGGUUCAGUGUUAAUAGCACUGUUCAUUGACGUUACUCGCAGAAGAAGCACCGGCUAACUCCGUGCCAGCAGCCGCGGUAAUACGGAGGGUGCAAGCGUUAAUCGGAAUUACUGGGCGUAAAGCGCACGCAGGCGGUUUGUUAAGUCAGAUGUGAAAUCCCCGCGCUUAACGUGGAACUGCAUUUGAAACUGGCAAGCUAGAGUCUUGUAGAGGGGGGUAGAAUUCCAGGUGUAGCGGUGAAAUGCGUAGAGAUCUGGAGGAAUACCGGUGGCGAAGGCGGCCCCCUGGACAAAGACUGACGCUCAGGUGCGAAAGCGUG